This 253-nucleotide ribosomal RNA is filed under the name uncultured bacterium. RNAcentral's name for it is "partial 16S ribosomal RNA". It matches the Rfam family "Bacterial small subunit ribosomal RNA", at positions 524 to 776 of the family's 1533-position model. The record is from RNAcentral.
UACAUAGGUCCCGAGCGUUGUUCGGAUUCAUUGGGCGUAAAGGGUGCGUAGGCGGCUUCCUAAGUUUGAUGUGAAAUCCUGGGGCUCAACCCUGGAACUGCAUUGAAUACUGGGAGGCUAGAGUACUGGAGAGGAAACUGGAAUUUACGGUGUAGCAGUGAAAUGCGUAGAGAUCGUAAGGAAGACCAGUGGCGAAGGCGAGUUUCUGGACAGUUACUGACGCUGAGGCACGAAGGCCAGGGGAGCAAACGGG